CGUUGCUGGAAAUGGUCAGAACCAGGUCUAUGCCCUCAUUUUGGAAGUUCUGAAGGUGGGCAUGUGACCCUUCUAAGAACAGGCUCCAUCACCAUGGACUAAUAGGAACAGGUUUCAGAGUCUGGAAAGGCCUGACGGUGCAGGUGUAAUAAUGGAACGACAGCCAUUCUGUGUAACUUUAUUGGCUGAAACAGGGUCAAGUGACCCUUCUAAAUACAGGCCCUGUAGGAGAGUGCUUAGGUCAUUUUACUGUUCUUCAGAGACCAUGGACUCCACUGAGGCCUGUGGGCCUAUCUUUGCCCACAUCUUUGCCCAUUCUUGGACAUUAAGCCUGGGAAAGUCAGGGCCGUGUUUGUUUGAUUGAUUUCUAUACCGCCCUUCCAAAAAUGGCUCAGGGUGGUUUACACCGAGAAAUAAUGAAUAAAUAAGAUGGAUCCCUGUCCCCAAAGGGCUCACAAUCUAAAAAGGAAACCAAGAUAGACACCAGCAACAGUCACUGGAGGUGCUGUGCUGGGGGUGGAUAGGGCCAGAUAUAUGACACCGGUGGAUAUAUGACACCGAAGAGCCUGUCCUACCCUCCAGCAGGCCUGAAAACUCACCAGAUGGCUGUUUUUACCAUGGGCCAGGUUCCAGAUCCAGAAACAACUUUCCAAGUGAACCAGUAUGAUUAACUAAAAUGCGAUUGUGGAUACCACCCCUGCUCUUGCUGUGGAAACUGAAGCCGGAGAGCCUCCAGCUACUGCCCCAAAAAACAGAAGCAUGAGUUAAAUAGAUUCUGAAACAGAAGCUCCUGUGAAAAGAAAGCUGCAUAGGAAAAAAUGUGUGAAGAAAAGACCUCAUCAUUAUUGGUGUGAUGACUAUGGUUGCCACAAUGCAGACAGGAAAGCUAUUCACAUGCACAUGCAAAACCAGACUAAGGAAGCCGAGCCCAGUUUUGCACACAUGUAUGUACUGCCGGGAUUGGGCCCGAUCCCAGUGGCACCAAAGUGGAAAACCUGCCUCUGAAUCCUCCCUCUAAAAUGAGGUUAAAUGUAAGCGCUCCCUUAACCUCAUUUUUCCAGUCAUGUCAGCUGUGGCUGCAAUCAGCAGCUAGCAGACUUGGGGAGAGGGGAUCCCCAGAAUGCACUGCAUGCACACAAGUGCAUUACUGUAGCUCUGGGGGGUGGAGUGAUGCAUCCUGGCACCCUGACCCUCGGAGCGACUGGCAGCAGCUGGUGCUCAUCUGGGCAGGCGAUGCACCCUAACCCAAGGAAAGAGAACUGCUUUUGUGAGGGGCAGGGGGUAAGCUGUUGCCCUAUUGCCCUUUUCCACUGAUCAUGAGAAAAGGGUCCAGGGACUUUUCUGAUGGUGGAUGUGGCUGCCAUUCUUUUUUUGUCAAGCAGGCCCCAGGAUUUUCAAUGCAACUAUAAGUGCUGCAGGUCUAGUGAGGAUUGGCCAUUGUAUGAUUGCAGGACAAGCUGGUCGGUGCCUUUGAGAACAUUCAGCUUAGUCAAUGUAUCGUGCUUCUCAUGUGCUUGCACUGAUGGUGACCAAUAAAAUAAUUUUGUUUUAAA
Molecule: long non-coding RNA, 1553 nt
Organism: Hemicordylus capensis (graceful crag lizard)
Lineage: Eukaryota; Metazoa; Chordata; Lepidosauria; Squamata; Cordylidae
Exons: 2
Source: RefSeq, a predicted model, not a curated record